AGUCGAAAAUACUGAAUAAUUAAACAAACCAAAUGGCAUCACUGGUGGUUCUUUUUUCCACUCCGCUAAACUGUCAUCUCAAACAAAAACAAAUGGAUCAUACAACUGCUAUGAAUACAUUCGACUCGUUUGCUUCCAUCAAUCGCAGUAACCUUCAACCCCUGUUGGCAAUGCCGGGGGACAGCAUCAACAGCAGCAGCAGCAGAAUUUGACCAUGGUAUGGUAUUGCGAAGAACUUUCCCCAUUAGAGGUUCCGUGCUUCGCGCACAUUCAAAAUCCUCUUCAGACACGAAAACUCAACGACAAGGAGGUAUUUAUCAACUUGCUCAGCUGAAUUACCACCCGGAGGAACCCGAAUGCACUGAUUCCGUUGUAUAGUAGAAUGAAAAUAGGCGAGGUAAGCGAACGUAAUCGCAUGAUAUUUUAAUAGUUCGCAUUUUUAUCCGGAUCAUACAACUGCUAUGAAUACAUCCGACUCAAUCAAUCGGCGAGUGAGAAAGAUGAUUUCCCUCAUCACCACAUUGCUUAUUUCCACUUCUGUCACGCCAGCCAACAGCAUCAGCUUUCCCGCAGCAGUAUCCUUUAAGUCCAGGGUGCUAUUCCGGGCAACAGCAUCAUCAGUAACAGCAGCAGGACCUGGCCAUCGAUAGUAUUUCGAGCAAUUUUCCCCAUCGGAGAUCCCGUGCUUCACGCACAUUGAAGAAACCUCCUCAGCCACAUAUGUGUGUCAAGGAGAAAAAGGAGCUGGAUUCGAAUCGUCAAUCCAGACAACCCGAAUGCACCGAUUGCAUUAUAUAUCUUGUUUAUAUUUUAUAUGCAUUUUGUGUUUUUUUGAAUAAAAUGAUUAAAAUCGA
Molecule: long non-coding RNA, 854 nt
Organism: Toxorhynchites rutilus septentrionalis
Lineage: Eukaryota; Metazoa; Arthropoda; Insecta; Diptera; Culicidae
Exons: 4
Source: RefSeq, a predicted model, not a curated record